This 406-nucleotide ribosomal RNA is filed under the name uncultured bacterium. RNAcentral's name for it is "partial 16S ribosomal RNA". It matches the Rfam family "Bacterial small subunit ribosomal RNA", at positions 30 to 526 of the family's 1533-position model. The record is from RNAcentral.
AUUGAACGAUGGCGGCAGGCCUAACACAUGCAAGUCGAAAGAGAGGCGGACGGGGGAGUAAUGUCCGGGAAACUGCCCGAUGAAGGGGGAUAACUACUGGACACGGUAGCUAAUACCGCAUACCAUCGGAUGUGCCCAGAUGGGAUUAGCUUGUAGGUGAGGUAACGGCUCACCUAGGCGACGAUCCCUAGCUGGUCUGAGAGGAUGACCAGCCACGCUGUAACUGAUACACGGUCCUGGCUCCUACGGGAGGCAGCAGGGGUGAAUAUUGCGCAAUGGUCGCAAGCCUGAUGCAGCCAUGCCGCGUGUAUGAAGAAGGCCUUCGGGUUGUAAAGUACUUUCAGCGAGGAGGCGUUACCCGCAGAAGAAGCACCGGCUAACUCCGUGCCAGCCGCCGCGGUAAUUC